AAUGUGAUUCACAAUGUGUACAACUUACCUUCAUAAUGAUUACUUAAAAUGAUAUCAUUUAGAAGUGGUUGGUUUUUGGAUGCUAGUUGGAUCGUGAGCGAGAAAAAGCCACGACCCGAUCGCCAUUUAAAAUUGAAACAUACGUGGGUGGCUUUGAUACGGUCUGGCUGUUGCAUCAUGGCAGACUUAUUGUUCUGUCCAAAGUUUUGUUUGCUAGCUGUUAUUCGACAAUUCUAGCCCGGCUUCUGUUUCCUACCUCUCAUUUUCCAUGUCACCCACUCACUUUAUCCACCGUUUUCUGUUUUCUCGUUGCGUUUCGACUACGAGCUGAGCUUUUCCAAUUGCUGCGAAUUUUGGUUUACUGUUUGGAUUAUUAGGAUUCGUUGCUGGAAGAAAAAGGCGCUCAGAUCAAAAACACAGAACAAAACCAUCUUGUUAGCACUUGUAGUGGAAAGCAAAGAAUUCCCGCGUGAAAUUCUGAUCAUUUAAAUGCUAUUUUGUGUUCUAUGAAUAAUCUGUGUUCUUUGGAAAUACAGAUACUCUUACAUGAUUAUAUUUUCCAAUCGAAAUGAUUAGACAGCGUUUCCAUCCGGCCAUUACAUCGCAUGUCGUCGAUUGAAGAAAGAAGGUGUGGCACCAACCAAAAAAUUUGAGAGUCGCCACAAAGAGGGAUUGAACCAAGACGUCUCGUUUGAACGGACGUCCUGGAGGCAUGUCCCUGUUUGCGUGCUCGCAUCAUCCGGAUCCGUGCCAUAACCCACAGCCACUUCAGAGAAAUCCAUUGGACGUUAUCCAUGUCGCUGAACAGCCAGUGGCAAACACUAGGGAUCAUCUUGCAACGCUACUAUAUGAAACAGGUUUUUAGUGGUUCAUUCCUGAAUAGUAUGUUUAGUACUACGGAAAAACUAAAAAAGGAUUGUAGGAGAGAUGACAGGACAGCGGUCGAUUGUAGAGGUUUCUUUUACUUCUGCUAUAGCAGUAUUAACAUUUUCUAAACUCACAAUUAGUGGGAACCUGCCGCCCGACAAUGAAUCGUCCAAGUCCAAACUGGUAAUUGUUUUCUGGAUUCGAUAGAGAAAACCUGUAAUCCCCUGGAUGUGGCUGGAAAGUUGUUGUCAUUCUGUGGUAUUGAUGGCAGGAGUGCAAAAACCAUAAACUAAUCGCCUAUUGUAAACAAAACGUCUGUCGAUGGAAAAUAGAAGAAACAAAAACA
Molecule: long non-coding RNA, 1213 nt
Filed under: Daphnia magna
Lineage: Eukaryota; Metazoa; Arthropoda; Branchiopoda; Diplostraca; Daphniidae
Description: uncharacterized LOC123468022, transcript variant X1
Source: RNAcentral